GCUUAGUAUAUAUUAUUGAUGUUGCAGUUAAAACGUUCGUAGUCGACCCUUAUUUACUAAUGUAUAUAAGGUCUAAGAUCUUGUUAUGCUGUCAGUAAAUAUUAUAUAGCUAUUAUAUAUGUUUCAUAUAUUUUAUGCUAUAUCUUACUUUGAGUGAAUCGGCGUGUUCCAUGCAGGCAUAAGCCGUGAACGAUUUAUCAUAGAAUAAAUACAUUAUAAUAAUAUUUUUAUGUCUGUUCAAAAAUAUUAUUUAUAAUAAUAAGAACGGUUGAGGGCAUUCAUAUUCAACUGCUAGAGGUGAAAUUCUUUGAUUAGUUAAGGAUGAACAAUGGCGAAAGCAUCUGCCAAGGACGUUUCUGUUGA
Molecule: ribosomal RNA, 363 nt
Filed under: uncultured eukaryote
Lineage: Eukaryota
Description: partial 18S ribosomal RNA
Rfam family: Eukaryotic small subunit ribosomal RNA
Source: RNAcentral